AUUGAACGCUGGCGGCAGGCCUAACACAUGCAAGUCGAGCGGCAGCACAGAGCUUGCUUCCGCAUACAGCGGCCGACGGGCGAGCAAUGCCUAGGAACCUCCCUAUUUGUGUGGGCUAACGUCCGGAAACGGGGGCUAUUACCCUAAUCGCCCAUACGACGUACGUGUGGAAGCUUCGGACCUCCCGCUCUUGGACGAGCCUAGGGCGGAUUAGCUGGUUGGUGGGGUAAAGGCCUACCAAGGCGACGAUCCGUCACUGGUCUGAGAGGAUGAUCAGGCACACUGGAACUGAGACACGGUCCAGACUCCUACGGGAGGCAGCAGUGGGGAAUAUUGGACAAUGGGCGAAAGCCUGAUCCAGCCAUGCCGCGUGGGUGAAGAAGGUCUUCGGGUUGUAAAGCCCUUUUGGUGGGGAAGAAGGGCAGCAGGUUAAUACCUUGCUGUUUUGACGGUACCAACAGAAUAAGCACCGGCUAACUUCGUG
Molecule: ribosomal RNA, 484 nt
Filed under: uncultured bacterium
Lineage: Bacteria
Description: partial 16S ribosomal RNA
Rfam family: Bacterial small subunit ribosomal RNA
Source: RNAcentral